This is a non-coding RNA of Thamnophis sirtalis, 281 nucleotides long. Lineage: Eukaryota; Metazoa; Chordata; Lepidosauria; Squamata; Natricidae. The record is from RefSeq and is a predicted model, not a curated record.
UAACAUAUCUCUCUUUUCAGAUGUGAAGGUUAUCUUGGACCUGACCCCUAACUAUCAUGGCCAGUUACCCUGGUUUAGCCAAGAUGUAUGGCUUCAGGGGGAUUUCCAGAACAAAAUGAAAGAAGCAAUCCAGUUUUGGCUGAGGAAAGGUGUCUCCGGAAUCCAGUUCGGAAGCAUCGAGCAUUUGAAUGAUCCCCAACUCUUGAGUGAGUGGAAGAACAUAACAGAACAAGAGGCUGUUGAUGAUCAGCGUGGGUGAGUUAAAAACAGGCACAUUUCUU